GAUGAACGCUGGCGGUAUGCUUAACACAUGCAAGUCGAACGGACUCUUCGGAGUUAGUGGCGGUCGGGUGAGUAACGCGUGGGAAUCUGGCUUUGGGUUCGGGACAACCACUGGGAACGGUGGCUAAUAACGGAUGUGCCGAGAGGUAAAAGAGAUAUUGCCUGAAGAUGAGCUCGCGACUGAUUAGCUAGUUUGAGAGGUAAAGGCUAACCACGGUAGCGAUUAGUAGCUGGUGUGAGAGGAUGACCAGCCACACUGGGACUGAGACACGGCCCAGACACCUACGGGAGGCAGCAGGGAGGAAUUUUCCGCAAUGGGCCAAAGCCGGACAGAGCUAUACCGCGUGAGGGAAGAAGGGUCAGGGGAGGUAAACCGUGUGUCUUAGGAAAUAACAAAAUGACGGUACCUUAGGAAACAGCAUCGGCUAACUCCGUG
RNAcentral lists this ribosomal RNA (435 nucleotides) under uncultured bacterium. RNAcentral describes it as "partial 16S ribosomal RNA". It matches the Rfam family "Bacterial small subunit ribosomal RNA", at positions 28 to 507 of the family's 1533-position model. The record is from RNAcentral.